GUGUGUGCUUUUAGUAGUUAGUAAGGCCAAAGCUACGGAAUGAGGUUUAAAUAUCUAGAGCUUGGAAUCCAAGAUUCCUCGCCGAGAGUGAAACCUAUAGCCGGUGCCAAGGCUAUUUGCAUGGUUUAUUAUGUUUAUAAUUUACAGAUUUUUUUGUAUCCAUAUUUUCUGGGAAAAUCUGGAACUGUGGCCUCUGAAAUAAUGUUAUGCUCAAUUUUCCUGACCUAUGAGGAGGAUUCUAUUUUGAUACUAAAGUGUAUAAAGUUGGUUAUAAUCUCCACAUCUUGCCUUCUGGAUGGAUUUUUUAUCUCUGCUCUAUUUGCAGAAAAUGUAAAAUUGUAGUAUACUUCACCAUGAGAUCCGAUGUGCCCUGCUUCAUGACGAUUGGUUACUGAUGCUGGACUUUCUCGGGACUAACGCUGGAUUGAUUAUAACGUGCUGGUACCUGGUAUAGUUUCGAGAAAUUGCCGCAAGAUGGCCGCGGAGCGUGGUCGUGCACCUGUAAUGACAGCACGUGCUACAGCUGAGUGGCGGUCUCCUUCUUGGAAAAGUGAAGGUGUGUGGCGGGAAAGGAAUGUUUUGUUUUGACAUCAGAGAGGCUUGUUAGAUUUGUUGCAGAAAGGAGAGUGGCAAGCGGCGAGAACGUUCAACUUUCUUCGAGCACGUGCAUUGUUGGAGAUCGAGGUGUGGCAGGAAGAAAGUCGUGAGAGGCGGCCUGUUUUCAUCCAUGUGCUUCUAAGGGGCCAAAUUUGAAAGUUGAAGGGACACACGGUGAGGUUCGAUGAGAAUUACCGCGGAUGAUCGAGCCUAGGGGCGUCGAAAGUGACACCGUCGGUCUGUUAGCAG
Molecule: long non-coding RNA, 846 nt
Organism: Frieseomelitta varia
Lineage: Eukaryota; Metazoa; Arthropoda; Insecta; Hymenoptera; Apidae
Exons: 8
Source: RefSeq, a predicted model, not a curated record